CCGCCGGCGACCGGCGCACGGGUGAGUAACACGUAUGCAACCUGGCCGUGACAGAUGGAUAACCGGGAGAAAUCCCGCCUAAUACAACAUAAUGCCGGGAGGGGACAUCCCCUGCCGGCCAAAGGGGGCGACCCCGGUCACGGAUGGGCAUGCGGCGCAUUAGGUAGUUGGUGGGGCAACGGCCCACCAAGCCGACGAUGCGUAGGGGUUCUGAGAGGAAGGUCCCCCACAUUGGAACUGGGACACGGUCCAAACUCCUACGGAAGGCAGCAG
RNAcentral lists this ribosomal RNA (273 nucleotides) under uncultured bacterium. RNAcentral describes it as "partial 16S ribosomal RNA". It matches the Rfam family "Bacterial small subunit ribosomal RNA", at positions 85 to 354 of the family's 1533-position model. The record is from RNAcentral.